GAUGAACGCUGGCGGCGUGCCUAAUACAUGCGAGUCGAGCGAACAGACGAGGAGCUUGCUCCUCUGAUGUUAGCGGCGGACGGGUGAGUAACACGUGGAUAACCUACCUAUAAGACUGGGAUAACUUCGGGAAACCGGAGCUAAUACCGGAUAAUAUAUUGAACCGCAUGGUUCAAUAGUGAAAGACGGUUUUGCUGUCACUUAUAGAUGGAUCCGCGCCGCAUUAGCUAGUUGGUAAGGUAACGGCUUACCAAGGCGACGAUGCGUAGCCGACCUGAGAGGGUGAUCGGCCACACUGGAACUGAGACACGGUCCAGACUCCUACGGGAGGCAGCAGUAGGGAAUCUUCCGCAAUGGGCGAAAGCCUGACGGAGCAACGCCGCGUGAGUGAUGAAGGUCUUCGGAUCGUAAAACUCUGUUAUUAGGGAAGAACAAAUGUGUAAGUAACUAUGCACGUCUUGACGGUACCUAAUCAGAAAGCCACGGCUAACUACGUG
RNAcentral lists this ribosomal RNA (497 nucleotides) under uncultured bacterium. Its description in RNAcentral is "partial 16S ribosomal RNA". It matches the Rfam family "Bacterial small subunit ribosomal RNA", at positions 28 to 507 of the family's 1533-position model. The record is from RNAcentral.